This 1295-nucleotide long non-coding RNA is filed under the name Helianthus annuus (common sunflower). RNAcentral's name for it is "sRNA HanXRQr2_Chr13g0571141". The record is from RNAcentral. Lineage: Eukaryota; Viridiplantae; Streptophyta; Magnoliopsida; Asterales; Asteraceae.
UUCUUCCUACUUUGCUUCUUUCUAUUUUUUUCGUCAUAAUUAAACGAUUCGUUCAUCCUAAGGGAUUAUACGCAAAUUACACGCUAAGGACUUGAAGACGCUCAUAUUCCACAAUCCAAACGACUCAUCAAAAUAGGGGUGAAUCCCGCCUUUGGUGACGAAUUUCAAUCUAUCCAUCAUGUUAUUUUGCACGAAAUUUACCACCAAGUCAGGAGUGACAUCCCUAUCUUGAUGGAAAUUUCCACUUUAUAUUCUCGUGGAUCCCUGUUGACGACUCAAGAUCAUAUCUUGUUUCGUUCAAUAAACCACAUUAUGGGGACGAAAUUGUCAAGCUAGGAUUGAUAUCCACACCUUGAUGACUGGUUCCAUUCUUCGAUUUUCAAUCUCGUCAAAGUUUCGUAUUUUCGAUCGAAUUAGGGACAUGUAUUAACCAGAAGGGUAAAAUACCGCUACUCGCCUGUCGACGAGAGUAUUUUACCUAUUAGGCCAAAGCAUGCCUCCGUAAUUCGAAAGGACUUACGGGUCACUUUGGAAUAGUCGAAGUUUCUAAACCCGAAACGUUCCAAUAUUUUAUCAAACCCCUCUUUUAUGCUAUCUCAACAUUUAUGUGAUUUAAUACUUGUUAUCUCGUUCAUUUCAAAACCAAUGUUAUACUAAAAUCGAAUUAUCAUCCAACCAUUCAAUACAUACAUACUAAUAGUUAUACUUGGUUCGGGAUUACUGGGUGAUUCUUAUGUGAUAAACUUGUCAUUAACUUUGAUCAAAGCCACAACUUAACAUGUAUAGCGCUUGUGUAGCGCUAUAGGAGUAGCGCCCGCCCGUAUUCUUGAGGUCAUGUUAAGACAUUUUGCGCGCUAUAGGAGUAGCGCCCGCCCGUAUUCUUGAGGUCAUGUUAAGACAUUUUGCGGUACACGAUGGAUUGACCUGUUUAUUCGCAUGCCAGUAAUGCGUUAAUCUUGAUUAACUAAAGUAUGUCGUGUGGAUUGUUCAAUGAUUUUUUUUACAUAUGCUAAUGCUAGUUAUACUUGAUUCGGGAUUUCUGGAACAUUCUUAUGUGAUAAACCUGUCAUUAACUUCGCAAGAAGCCACACCUUAACAUGUAUAACGCUUGUGUAGCGCUAUAGGAGUAGCGCACCGCCCGUAUUCUAGUGGUCAUGUUAAGUUAACAACAUUACACCCUUUUCGUUGCGACGAUGUGGGGUAGUCAACAUUGCGGUACACGAUGGUUUGACAUGUUUACUCACAUGCCAGUAAUACGUUAAUCUUGGUUAACUAAGUAUAUCAUGUGAUUGUUC